RNAcentral lists this ribosomal RNA (253 nucleotides) under uncultured bacterium. Its description in RNAcentral is "partial 16S ribosomal RNA". It matches the Rfam family "Bacterial small subunit ribosomal RNA", at positions 524 to 776 of the family's 1533-position model. The record is from RNAcentral.
UACGUAGGGGGCAAGCGUUGUCCGGAAUCAUUGGGCGUAAAGCGCGUGUAGUCGGUUCGGUAAGUCUGCUGUGAAAGUCCAGGGCUCAACCCUGGGAUGCCGGUGGAUACUGUCGGGCUAGAGUACGGAAGAGGCGAGUGGAAUUCCCGGUGUAGCGGUGAAAUGCGCAGAUAUCGGGAGGAACACCAAUUGCGAAGGCAGCUCGCUGGGACGUCACUGACGCUGAGACGCGAAAGCGUGGGGAGCAAACAGG